This 67-nucleotide small RNA is filed under the name Pseudomonas sp. AD21. RNAcentral describes it as "isrK". The record is from RNAcentral. Lineage: Bacteria; Pseudomonadati; Pseudomonadota; Gammaproteobacteria; Pseudomonadales; Pseudomonadaceae.
GUCGCUGCCAAAUCAGCGAUCGGGAUUGGAACCCCGCGGCUUAACUGACGCAAAACGCACCUUUCAU